RNAcentral lists this transfer RNA (73 nucleotides) under Chloroflexota bacterium. Its description in RNAcentral is "Chloroflexi bacterium (sediment metagenome) tRNA-Arg". It matches the Rfam family "tRNA". From Rfam's summary of the family: Transfer RNA (tRNA) molecules are approximately 80 nucleotides in length. Their secondary structure includes four short double-helical elements and three loops (D, anti-codon, and T loops). Further hydrogen bonds mediate the characteristic L-shaped molecular structure. tRNAs have two regions of fundamental functional importance: the anti-codon, which is responsible for specific mRNA codon recognition, and the 3' end, to which the tRNAs corresponding amino acid is attached (by aminoacyl-tRNA synthetases). tRNAs cope with the degeneracy of the genetic code in two manners: having more than one tRNA (with a specific anti-codon) for a particular amino acid; and 'wobble' base-pairing, i.e. permitting non-standard base-pairing at the 3rd anti-codon position. The record is from RNAcentral. Lineage: Bacteria; Bacillati; Chloroflexota.
GCCUCAGUAGCUCAAUGGACAGAGCGCCUGACUUCGGAUCAGUAGGUUCCGGGUUCGAAUCCUGGCUGGGGCG